RNAcentral lists this ribosomal RNA (253 nucleotides) under uncultured bacterium. RNAcentral's name for it is "partial 16S ribosomal RNA". It matches the Rfam family "Bacterial small subunit ribosomal RNA", at positions 524 to 776 of the family's 1533-position model. The record is from RNAcentral.
UACGUAGGGGGCAAGCGUUGUCCGGAAUUACUGGGCGUAAAGGGCUCGUAGGCGGCCAACUAAGUCAGACGUGAAAUCCCUCGGCUUAACCGGGGAACUGCGUCUGAUACUGGAUGGCUUGAAUCCGGGAGAGGGAUGCGGAAUUCCAGGUGUAGCGGUGAAAUGCGUAGAUAUCUGGAGGAACACCGGUGGCGAAGGCGGCAUCCUGGACCGGCAUUGACGCUGAGGAGCGAAAGCCAGGGGAGCAAACGGG